UGUAUUAUUAAAACUAUCUACAUUUACCUAUUGCUGUUGAAUAUUAAAUUAAAUCAUUAGCAUAUUUGUAUCUUUGAAUUCCAGCUUCAACUUCAGAUACUGCAACUACAGCUUCAACUUCAGAUACUGCAAGUACAGCUUCAACUUCAGAUACUGCAACUACAGCUUCAACUUCAG
Molecule: long non-coding RNA, 177 nt
Organism: Pelobates fuscus (common spadefoot toad)
Lineage: Eukaryota; Metazoa; Chordata; Amphibia; Anura; Pelobatidae
Exons: 4
Source: RefSeq, a predicted model, not a curated record